This 346-nucleotide ribosomal RNA is filed under the name Parietochloris pseudoalveolaris. RNAcentral's name for it is "SSU rRNA". It matches the Rfam family "Eukaryotic small subunit ribosomal RNA", at positions 594 to 945 of the family's 1831-position model. The record is from RNAcentral. Lineage: Eukaryota; Viridiplantae; Chlorophyta; Trebouxiophyceae; Trebouxiales; Trebouxiaceae.
AUAGCGUAUAUUUAAGUUGUUGCAGUUAAAAAGCUCGUAGUUGGAUUUCGGGUGGGGCGCGCCGGUCCGCCGUUUCGGUGAGCACUGGCGCGGCCCACCUUGCUGCCGGGGACGGGCUCCUGGGCUUCAUUGCUCGGGACUCGGAGUCGGCGAGGUUACUUUGAGUAAAUUAGAGUGUUCAAAGCAGGCCUACGCUCUGAAUACAUUAGCAUGGAAUAACACGAUAGGACUCUGGCCUAUCUUGUUGGUCUGUAGGACCGGAGUAAUGAUUAAGAGGGACAGUCGGGGGCAUUCGUAUUUCAUUGUCAGAGGUGAAAUUCUUGGAUUUAUUGAAGACUAACUACUG